AACCUGAAGGCGUCUGAACCCCUGCUGAGUUGAUUCCCCAACCUCACACUAAAGGAACAAUCUCAAUUUUCUCUCAAAUUUUAGAUCUAAAUUUUGAUCUCCUCGAUUGAAAUUUUAGAUCUAAAGUUCCUCAGCCUUCAUCUACUUCAUCCAUAGAUCACACUACAAGCUUGAACAUCAAGAAUUCAUGCUCUCAAGCUCUCCAUUCAAAGGUUUUGAUCAACUGGUUUUUG
This 233-nucleotide long non-coding RNA is filed under the name Lathyrus oleraceus (garden pea). Its description in RNAcentral is "Pisum sativum (pea) long non-coding RNA (PSAT_LNC011911)". The record is from RNAcentral. Lineage: Eukaryota; Viridiplantae; Streptophyta; Magnoliopsida; Fabales; Fabaceae.